AACGCGAAGAACCUUACCAACCCUUGACAUGGCAGUGACCGUUCCAGAGAUGGUCCUUUCUCGCAAGAGACACUGCACACAGGUGCUGCAUGGCUGUCGUCAGCUCGUGUCGUGAGAUGUUCGGUUAAGUCCGGCAACGAGCGCAACCCACGCCUUCAGUUGCCAGCAGUUCGGCUGGGCACUCUGAAGGAACUGCCGGUGAUAAGCCGGAGGAAGGUGUGGAUGACGUCAAGUCCUCAUGGCCCUUACGGGUUGGGCUACACACGUGCUACAAUGGUGGUGACAAUGGGUUAAUCCCAAAAAGCCAUCUCAGUUCGGAUUGUCGUCUGCAACUCGGCGGCAUGAAGUCGGAAUCGCUAGUAAUCGCGUAACAGCAUGACGCGGUGAAUACGUUCCCGGGUCUUGUACACACCG
RNAcentral lists this ribosomal RNA (414 nucleotides) under uncultured bacterium. Its description in RNAcentral is "bacterial SSU rRNA". It matches the Rfam family "Bacterial small subunit ribosomal RNA", at positions 958 to 1392 of the family's 1533-position model. The record is from RNAcentral.